Molecule: transfer RNA, 92 nt
Filed under: Longimycelium tulufanense
Lineage: Bacteria; Bacillati; Actinomycetota; Actinomycetes; Pseudonocardiales; Pseudonocardiaceae
Description: tRNA-Thr
Source: RNAcentral
UCCGCGGUGCGCAGACGGUGGGCAGCGGCGGCGUGCGCCGCGCGAAAGCCAGCCCGGUGGGUACAUCACCGUUCGAGCCGGUGCCACAGGGC